Molecule: ribosomal RNA, 463 nt
Filed under: uncultured bacterium
Lineage: Bacteria
Description: bacterial SSU rRNA
Rfam family: Bacterial small subunit ribosomal RNA
Source: RNAcentral
UGCCUUACACAUGCAAGUCGAACGGCAGCACGGGAGCAAUCCUGGUGGCGAGUGGCGAACGGGUGAGUAAUAUAUCGGAACGUGCCAGUCGUGGGGAUAACGUAGCGAAAGCUACGCUAAUACCGCAUACGAUCUAUGGAUGAAAGCGGGGAUCGCAAGACCUCGCGCGAUUGGAGCGGCCGAUAUCAGAUUAGGUAGUUGGUGAGGUAAAGGCUCACCAAGCCGACGAUCUGUAGCUGGUCUGAGAGGACGACCAGCCGCACUGGGACUGAGACACGGCCCAGACUCCUACGGGAGGCAGCAGUGGGGAAUUUUGGACAAUGGGCGCAAGCCUGAUCCAGCAAUGCCGCGUGCAGGAUGAAGGCCUUCGGGUUGUAAACUGCUUUGUACGGAACGAAACGGUGAGCUCUAAUACAGUUUGCUAAUGACGGUACCGUAAGAAUAAGCACCGGCUAACUACGUG